Molecule: long non-coding RNA, 2176 nt
Organism: Prionailurus viverrinus (fishing cat)
Lineage: Eukaryota; Metazoa; Chordata; Mammalia; Carnivora; Felidae
Exons: 2
Source: RefSeq, a predicted model, not a curated record
UUAUCUUGGGAAAGUAAAUAUGGUGACUACAGGAAAUUUUUGAAAGUGAAAUGGGUGGCUGUGGGCGGCUGUCCCCUGUCCCAGGCUGUUGUCUUCAUCUCGAGGCUCUGAUUUAACUGAACUCCUCCAGGGCUGCUGUGGGCUUCCCGCCUGGCUUGUCGCCCUCGUCAUCUGGCUGUGACUGGAGACACUCAUGCAGUGCUUCCAAAAAGCAGAGCUGAGGAAGCAGGCUUUCCAGUCACUGGGUUUCUGCCGCUGAAGCUGGCCGGGUACUGCUCGGAGACCGUACAAGGCCCUCGGGUGAUGCCUUGCCCAGAAACCCUGGCUGCUGCCUGCUUGGGGCCAGGCACCUGGCCUGCCUUUACUCGCGCCAUCUCAUCAAAGUCUCCCGACUCCCUGGAGAAGGGGAAGCCUUCAGAAGCAAGAGGGAAAGGAGCCUCAGGCCCGGAAAAGCAAGGAAGAUGUCUCGGGCUUGGCUUCUUGUCCAGCGACAACACCGGCUCGCCGUGGUAGGUAUUGGAUCCUGUUGCCAAAGCAAGCCGAUGGGCCGUGGAGCUUUCCCUGAGAUUCCACAGGAGGAUGGCGAGGCUGCAGCCUUUUCCCAGGAUGCUAAUUAAAACUGCAAGUCGACCAAUGCAGCAGCAUAAAUAAUUCAACUUGGAGGAGCAUGGGGACCAGGGUUCACACGGCUGCUCAAAUCCCUCCAGAGCUCGCAGUCCUGGUUCACAUGCCCCAGAGAGGACAGCGUACACCGGUGGGAGCUGCCCUGCCUCGUGGGGAACCCUGGAUGAGAGGCCUGCACGGCCGCCUUGGUCCUGGCAGCCCAUGGCACCUGGGCGUGGCCACUGAGCCCCAUCUGGGGGUGCUGCCCGGUCCGCCUAUAGCUGCCAAACGGGAGCUGAAUCUGGAGGAAGGAUGUCCCUCCCCCUGAUGGUGUUUCAAGCGCCCUCCAGUUUGGGGCUUGGCCUGGACUCAUGUAGGCCUUCUGGUUUCUGAUUCCCAGAGCGCCCACAGGUGAACCCUUCUGACACCAGCCUCCUGACGUUACUACCUCUUCCUAGUAGAGUCCCAGGAGCCUGGCUGGCACUGCCGGGGGGCCGCGGGCCCCGCUCUCCACCUCAGUGGAACCCAGCUGGCAGCUGUCACAUCACCCUGGGAUCCUAGGAGGUCAGGGCGAGAGGUGCCAGAGGAAAGCCUCUUCUGCACUUUCCACUGUCACCGUUUGGGGCCAGGCAUUCCCUAAGUGACCAGCACGUCACCGUCCCCUGCACUCAUGAGGGGAACACUCUCGUGACCCUCACCUUCCAGAGAGACCAGCCGGGGUUCAUGGCUGUGUGCCCAAGAGCACACAGGGGUGGUGGUGAGGCCAGAGCCCACAGUCUUCAUGAAGGUCCAAGUCUGCAUUGAUCUGCUGGUCACGGGAUGGCUUAUGGAGCCACGCUCGGCGGUUGGGAGAAGAAAUGAGAGGCUCGUGAGGAGGAGGAGGCAAGGAUGUUUAGUUCCAAAGCCACGUCAGAUGAAGAGAAGGGAGCACAGGAGACACCACAGCUGACAGCGGAAUCUGUGGAUAAACUAAUGCCAGGGCUGAGUUUCUGGCAUGAGUCUCUUAACUGUGGGUGGCCGUGGGGGACUUGAUUCGCGAGCUCAACACGCCCUCUCCUGCCUCUUCCUCACCCUGGACUAGACAGACUCCAUCCUUGUGUCAGAGCAUUCAGCAGUUCAUGUGUUAGCUUGCUGUAUUUUUUUCUUCUUUUUGAGAGAGAAGGGGAGGGGCCGAGAGAGAGAGAAUCUGAAGCAGGCGCCACAUUCAGCACAGAGCCCGACGAAGGGCUCCAUCCCACGACCCUAGGAUCAUGACCUGCCUGGGCCAAAAUCAAGAGUUGGACGUUCAACCAACUGAGCCCCCCAGGCGCCCCAGUUCCCUGUUUUUUCUGAGCUAAGAACUGAACUGUGGUGAUGAGAGAGACCCAUCAAAAUAGUUUGACGUCACAGUGAACAAAUACCACGACUCCAUCCUUCUCGGACAGGAACCUGAUCUUCCUUGCUUUCUUCUGUUCACUAUGCAUUUUCCCCUGGUUUUCAAAGUGUGUAUUCAAAUCUCUUUUCAGAUGUAUAUCUUACCUUGUGUACCAUUAUUCCUCCUGUUUUCAAAAUAGAGGCUCACAGUGCUUGUCAA